RNAcentral lists this long non-coding RNA (5115 nucleotides) under Hordeum vulgare. RNAcentral's name for it is "long non-coding RNA (HVUL_LNC002256)". Lineage: Eukaryota; Viridiplantae; Streptophyta; Magnoliopsida; Poales; Poaceae. The record is from RNAcentral.
AACCUUUCUUUGAGAACUUCCACGAUUCUUUGUUUCAUUUCUGAGAUAUUUCAUUUCUAAUCGAGCAAAUGUCAAAUACACAACGAGGACACCAACACCCAACGGACCCAUACAUGCACAUCCUUGUCAUUGCAUGACUUAGGAUGGAUCACCAAACCACAUCACUCCAAAACUUGGACAUCCAAAUUAGCUGUCACUGUCAGCACCAUGAACUUCUUGAACUAUAUCCUACCUAUGUACACAACGCACACUCCAGAGAACUACUCUGUCAGGCCUAGCAAGAAUCAAGAAUCAGAUGAGGAACAGAUCAGAUCUGCUAGUCGUGAUAGCAUAGGAGCGCGACGACGCAUCGGCGGAUGAUGUAGAGCCUGGCCUUGUGCUCCCUCAGCUGUUGGUUGACAGCUGCANUCAGUUCCCUGGGCCACAAGUGGCAUCAGAGCCCGGACAAUGUCACCGCCGAAGAAGGCCGGCGACGACGACGGCAGUACUUCGCCUCGUGCGAGGAUCGGGGAUCCUCCCGCAGCCGCCUCAGGGCGCGAGCUGGCGGUGCCACGGCAGUACGCGCCGGUCGUGUCGGGGUCCAGCAACGUGCCGACGCUGACAAGCUCAAACUACGCGGAGUGGAGCCUCCUGAUGGAGGUUAGCCUGCAGGCUCGAGGCCUGUGGGGUGCGGUCGUGGGUCUGGAGGAUCUCGACGACGAGUACGGCUACCGCAACGACAAGGGCGCGCUGGAACUGAUCUACCGAUCGGUGCCGGCGGCGAUGCUCCCGGUGCUUCGGAAGCACAAGUCCGCGCAGGCGACUUGGGACGCCAUCUGCAAGAUGCGUGCCGGUUCCGAGAAGCUGCGGGACGCCAAGGCACAAUCACUCCGAUCGGAGUACGAUCAGCUGCGGCACAGACCUGGUGAGUCUGUUGACGAUCUCGCGAUGCGCUUGACAGGCCUCACAGCAAGACUUGCGGAGCUCGGGGAUCCGGAGUCUGACAAGAGGGUGAUCCAGAAGUGGCUUCGGAUCGUCCCCAAGCGCUACUCCCAGCUCGCUCACUCCAUCGACAACCUUGUCGACCUGAACACAACCUCGAUCGAGGAGAUCGUGGGGAGGUUCAAGGCGGCGGAGGAACGUGACGAGCAGGACGCGGAAGAAGAAGGGGGCACCAAGCUCUACCUCACUGAGGAGGAGUGGCGCGCACGCGCUGGACGCCGCGAGAGCGGUGGAUCAUCUGGCGGCGGCUCGAACGGCGGCAAGAAGCCGCGUGGCAAGCCAAGCUACCGCGGCAGGGACGGCGGUCGUGUCGGCAACGGCAAGGGCGGUCCGCGGCGCGAAGGGAACUGCCGCUACUGCGGCAAAGCUGGCCACUGGGCCCGCGAGUGCCGCAAGAAGGAGCGCGACGAGGCCGGUGGCGAAGCUCACGUCGCCGAGGCCGAAGAUGAGGACCCAGCUCUGUUGAUGGUGCAGGUGACGCCGUCUCCGGGGGAGCUGGGCACGGACGAGGAAGGAGACAUCGUCGUCCACCUCAACGAAGAACGCGCCAAGGUAUGCCUCGGUGCGGAGGACGAACACAAGGAGCCAAGGUGGCACAUGGACACAGGCGCGUCCAAUCACAUGACCGGCAACGACACCGUCUUCAGCGAGCUGGAUCGGAACGUGAGCGGCACUGUUCGCUUCGGCGACGGCUCCGUCGUCCAGAUCAAGGGGCGCGGCACGGUGGUCUUCGUCGCGCACGGUGGUCACCACCGAGUUCUCUCCAGGGUCUACUUCAUCCCGCGCCUUCGGACGUCGAUCGUCUCCAUCGGGCAACUCGAUGAGGUGGGGUGCUCCGCCCUGGUGCAGGGCGGGUUCAUGGUGCUGCGCGAUCGGCAGCAGGAUCUCAUCGCCAAGGUGCCACGGACGGGAAAUCGCCUGUACACCGUCGAACUGAAGAUCACGCGCCCGGUGUGUCUAGCCGCCUCGACCGGUGACGACGCAUGGAGGUGGCACGCACGGUACGGCCACCUGAACUUCGACGCCCUGCGGAAGUUGUCUCAGGGCAGCAUGGUGCGCGGCAUGCCCGCGAUCAAGCACGUCGGUCAAAUCUGCGACGGCUGUCUGAUCGGCAAGCAGAGGCGCACACCGUUCCCGGCGGAGGCGAACUACCGGGCCACGGAGAGGCUGGACCUGGUGCACGGAGAUCUCUGCGGCCCAAUCUCACCGCCGACGCACGGUGGGAAGAGGUACUUUCUGCUCCUGGUAGAUGACAAGACUCGGUACAUGUGGAUCGUACUGCUGAGCAGGAAAGACGAGGCGCCGGCGGCGAUCAAGCGCUGGCAGGCCAGCGUCGAGGUCGAAACAAAGAUCAAGCUCCGGGUGCUGCGCACGGACAGAGGAGGCGAGUUCACGUCGACGGAGUUCGGCGAGUACUGCGCCGAUCGAGGGGUGCGCCGUCAUCUGACCGCUCCCUACUCGCCGCAGCAGAACGGCGUCGUCGAGCGGCGAAAUCAGUCCGUGGUUGGCACGGCGCGAUGUCUCUUGAAGGCAAAGGGCGUACCAAAUGAGUUCUGGGGGGAGGCCGUGAACACAGCAGUGCAUCUGCUCAACUGUGCUCCCACCAAGUCCGUGCGCGACGCGACGCCGCACGAGGCGUGGCAUGGAGCAAAGCCCGCCGUCGGCCAUUUCCGAACGUUCGGCUGCAUCGCUCACGUCAAGAUCACGAAGCCUGGACUGAAGAAGCUCGAUGAUCGCAGUCUCCGGACUAUGUUCAUAGGAUAUGAGCACGGCACCUCCAAGGCAUGGCGCGUGUACGACCCCAUCGGCAAGCGCGUCCACAUAACCAGGGACGCCGUCUUCGACGAGCUGGCAAGCUGGAGCUGGGAGACGCCGGAGCAGGAGCCGGGCUCAUUCAUCAUCGACUACGCGGCACCUAUCGGCGUGACUCAAGCACCCGCGUCGCACGGGGAAAAGGACGUGGACACGACGCCCUCGGCAUCAUCACCUGCACCUGCGCUCACGCCGCUCUCGUCAACUGUCACACCUGCGCGGGAGGCGUUCAGGGGCAGGGGGGUGGCGGCCGGAUAUGUAUCCCCACCGGACGGAGCCACGCCGGACUCUGAACUGGAUGGAGAAGAAGCGCCACGCCGGUACCGCACGAUGGACAAUGUCAUCAGCGAGUCUGAUACUGUCACUCUUGAGGAGCUGCACCUCGCCACGGGUGACGAGCCAAGCUCCUUCGAGGAGGCAGAGCCACACGCGGCAUGGCGUGCAGCGAUGAUGGACGAGAUGGGCUCCAUAGAAGAAAACAAGACUUGGACGCUGACAACGCUUCCCGCCGGCAAGCGGCCGAUCGGCCUGAAGUGGGUGUUCAAACUCAAGAGAAAUUCUGCCGGCGAGGUGAUCAAGCAUAAAGCAAGGUUAGUGGCAAAGGGGUAUGUGCAACGCGCAGGUGUGGACUUCGACGAGGUCUUCGCACCAGUGGCACGGCUCGACUCCGUCCGGCUGCUCCUCGCCAUUGCUGCACACUGUGGCUGGGAAGUGCAUCAUCUUGACGUCAAGUCAGCGUUCCUGAAUGGGGAGCUUGAAGAGGAAGUCUACGUCACGCAGCCGCCGGGAUUUGAGCAAGCCGGCGAGGAAGAGAAAGUGCUGCGUCUUAGCAAAGCACUGUAUGGGCUGCGCCAGGCGCCGAGGGCGUGGAACGCCAAGCUUGACACCACACUACUGUCGCUUGGGUUUCAGCGUAGUCCAUCAGAUCAUGCAGUGUAUGUGCGGCGUGACGGCGAAGAAAGGGUGCUGCUGGGGGUGUAUGUGGAUGAUCUGAUCAUCACAGGAUCAAGUACAGAGGUGGUGGCGCGAUUCAAGGAGCAGAUGCUGUCCACCUUCUCCAUGAGUGAUCUGGGCUUGCUGUCUUUCUACCUCGGUAUUGAAGUGCAGCAGAGCUCCAGUGGCAUUACUCUCAAGCAGGCAGCAUAUGCAGCAAAGCUGGUUGACAGGGCGGGGCUCUCAGGUUGCAACCCUGUUGGCAUCCCAAUGGAGCCUCGGCUCAAGCUAAGCAAGAACAGCUCAAAUCCUCCGGUGGAUGUGACCCUUUACCGAAGCAUCGUUGGAAGCUUGCGUUACUUGGUUCACACACGGCCAGACAUCACCUUCGCCGUCGGUUUCAUCAGCAGAUUCAUGGAAGCUCCAACGACUGAACAUUGGGCGGCAGUGAAACAGCUGAUCCGCUACAUUGCUGGCACUCUGCAUUACGGAUGCAGGUAUGAGCGUGGCACGGGGGAGCCACGUCUUCUCGGCUACAGCGACGCUGAUUGGGCCGGGGAUGUCGAUGAUCGAAAGAGCACCUCCGGCAUGGUCUUCUUCCUUGGGGGGAGCGUGGUGUGCUGGCAGUCCCUGAAGCAGAAAGGGAUAGCACUCUCAACGUGCGAAGCCGAGUACAUCUCUGCAACCACGGCGGCAUGUCAAGGUGUUUGGCUUCGACGCAUGAUCAGAGAAUUGCGUGGAGAAGAGAGAAGCACGACGAUCCUCAUCGACAAUCAGUCUGCGAUACAGCUGUGCAAGAACCCUGUAUUCCAUGACAGGAGCAAGCAUAUCGAGACCCGGUACCACUUCAUUCGUGAGUGCGUGCAGGACGGAAGGAUCAACGUCGAGCACGUCAGCACCAACGAGCAGCUAGCGGACAUCAUGACCAAGGCUCUACCUCGAGCUAGGUUCCAGGAGCUGCGCGGGAAGCUGGGCAUCGUCAACCUUGGCAGCUGAUCAAGGGGGAGAUUGUUGGUUGACAGCUGCANUCAGUUCCCUGGGCCACAUCAGCAUCCUGCUCAGCCCUCCUCCUCCCCAGUGCUUCCCAUGGCAAUGGCUCUUCACCUUGUUCAUCCUCACUCUGAGGUAGAUAGUGCGUUUGAACAGGAGGGUGGUUCAGCUUGCUAGGCUCUGCACUUGCACUGCUACCAGAGAUGGAUGUGACUCUGCUCAUCUGCUGUGUGGUUGUGGCCAAGUGCGCAGCGCUUGCGAUGCUUAUAUAGCGUGAAAAUGGCCAACUGGGGAAGAGAGACAGAGUGGCAGAGGGGCAGGCUAGUUGCGCAUAUCAUAAGCUGCUGAUCCAUGGAUCGAGAGAGAGGGAGGCUGGCAAUGGCAUGGCAUCAGGCAUCA